Non-coding RNA from Acanthosepion pharaonis, 115 nucleotides. NCBI's taxonomy places the organism in Eukaryota, Metazoa, Mollusca, Cephalopoda, Sepiida, Sepiidae. The record is from the annotation of a GenBank genome assembly.
UUACGGCCAUAUCAUGUUGAAACACCGGUUCCCGUACGAUCACUGAAGUUAAGCUAUGUCGAGUCUGGCCACCCACCUAGAUGGGUGACCGUUUGACAAUACCAGGUUCUGCAAG